This 461-nucleotide long non-coding RNA is filed under the name Gossypium barbadense (sea-island cotton). Its description in RNAcentral is "long non-coding RNA (GBAR_LNC020461)". The record is from RNAcentral. Lineage: Eukaryota; Viridiplantae; Streptophyta; Magnoliopsida; Malvales; Malvaceae.
CCCAACCCGACUCCAUAACUCAAUCCUUUAUAUAAAUAAUCCCCCGUUUCUUUUUCUUUAAUCAAAUCCCUUCACUUUUUUUAAAAAAAUCUUCAUAAGAAAAAAAUGACUCCAUUUACUGUUAUGUUAAUGGUUCUUUUCCUUGUGUUCACCUUGUCUCAGGCCCGCUUUUUGACAGUUGAACCGGAGUUACGCCGCUCCGUUCGCCAGGUCCAGGCGAGAUGGGCCGAGUUUCCUGUUUCUUUUUUAAAUAUAUUUCAUAAGAAAAGAAAAAUGGCUCCAUUUACUGUUAUGUUAAUGGUUAUUGUGUUCACCUUGUCUCAGGCCCGUUUUUUGACAGUUGAACCGGAACUUGGCGCCACUGCCCAAGAUACUAUCUCGAAUGUACCCGAUUCCGACCCGAGAACCACAACAAUCACUGUCCUUCUCUCUGGAGAUAGACCCGGGUCCGAACCCGCCGC